This 159-nucleotide ribosomal RNA is filed under the name Salibacterium qingdaonense. Its description in RNAcentral is "16S rRNA. Bacterial SSU". It matches the Rfam family "Bacterial small subunit ribosomal RNA", at positions 1 to 138 of the family's 1533-position model. Lineage: Bacteria; Bacillati; Bacillota; Bacilli; Caryophanales; Bacillaceae. The record is from RNAcentral.
UUUUAAUGGAGAGUUUGAUCCUGGCUCAGGACGAACGCUGGCGGCGUGCCUAAUACAUGCAAGUCGAGCGCGGGAAGCGGACGGAAACCCUCCGGGGUGGAAAUCCGUGGAACGAGCGGCGGACGGGUGAGUAACACGUGGGCAACCUGCCUGAAAGUC